AGACUCUCGGCAACGGAUAUCUCGGCUCUUGCAUCGAUGAAGAACGUAGCGAAAUGCGAUACUUGGUGUGAAUUGCAGAAUCCCGUGAACCAUCGAGUCGUUGAACGCAAGUUGCGCCCGACGCCAUCAGGUCGAGGGCACGCCUGCCUGGGUGUCGCACAUC
RNAcentral lists this ribosomal RNA (163 nucleotides) under Thermopsis smithiana. RNAcentral describes it as "5.8S ribosomal RNA". It matches the Rfam family "5.8S ribosomal RNA". Rfam says of the family: 5.8S ribosomal RNA (5.8S rRNA) is a component of the large subunit of the eukaryotic ribosome. The record is from RNAcentral. Lineage: Eukaryota; Viridiplantae; Streptophyta; Magnoliopsida; Fabales; Fabaceae.